RNAcentral lists this long non-coding RNA (879 nucleotides) under Helianthus annuus (common sunflower). RNAcentral describes it as "hypothetical non coding rna". Lineage: Eukaryota; Viridiplantae; Streptophyta; Magnoliopsida; Asterales; Asteraceae. The record is from RNAcentral.
UUUUGAAACUAAUUUCAAACAAAAAAUAAAUAAAGUUGUCCAUAAAUAAUAUGAAUGAAUCGGUCACUCAAAUAUUACAUUUACACCCAAUCACCAUUUUCACCUUCGUAUUACUAUAACGGUAUCGCCACUUUCAUCAAAGACUCCUGCAAAUCUAGCAACAUUCUUGUAUAUUGGAUGAUUAAUCUUUCCAAACAAAUGGAGUAGGAGGUUUUGAUGAGUGAUUCAUCUCCCCAAAAGUGUCACUCAAACUUACCUGAAGUUACCGGAACCGGAUCACCGGAUUAAAUCCCGGAGGCGGAGCUACAGCAACCACCGGCGGAGGCGGAGGAGCUACAGACACCGGCGACGGCGGAGGCGGAGGUUGAUUACCACUACUCAAUUCCGACGGCGGUGGUGCUAGUGACGGAACCGGAGGCGGUGGAGCUAGAUUCGAACUUGAACCAGACGAUGGCAGCGGCGGAGGAGGAUAGAGAUCGGAAGGAUUGGAUGCACCUGAAUCAGGAGUGGAGGUGAUCGGAAAGUCCACCGGCGGAGGAUAGAGAUCCGAUUGAGAGCAUGAGUCGCCGGAGCAGUUAUGUGAAUUAAGAUGAAUUUUAUGGCGGAGGACGCCGAAGCCUAACAGGAGGCCAGUAAUAAGGAGAACGGUGAUGAGAAAGAUGAAGAUCUUUGUAGCUUUUCCUACAUAACACAUUGUGUGUCAGAAAGAAGUGGUGGAUUUCGUCGUGUUGUUUGUUGGUUUUCUGUGCAGAUCGAGGGGUGGUGGUGGUCAGUGUUUGUAAAGUGGUGGUGGUGCAGUGGCACUGGCAGAGUGUACUUGAGUCCAAAUUGAAAGAGGUGAAUGUGGUUGUGUUGUUCAUAGGGUAAGUUGAGUCUAGC